Rhodamnia argentea is the source of this 127-nucleotide long non-coding RNA. RefSeq lists it as uncharacterized. The record is from RefSeq and is a predicted model, not a curated record. The transcript has 3 exons. NCBI's taxonomy places the organism in Eukaryota, Viridiplantae, Streptophyta, Magnoliopsida, Myrtales, Myrtaceae.
GCGCUCUAAAAAGCUCCGACUUCAGACAUCACCUGCAGAUGCUCAUGCCCUCGGUAGAUUAGAACCCCACAAAAACAAACGCAUUCUACUACAAGUCUUUCUACUAGAAGUCUUCUUUAGACUUCUA